This 540-nucleotide ribosomal RNA is filed under the name uncultured bacterium. Its description in RNAcentral is "partial 16S ribosomal RNA". It matches the Rfam family "Bacterial small subunit ribosomal RNA", at positions 355 to 889 of the family's 1533-position model. The record is from RNAcentral.
UGGGGAAUUUUGGACAAUGGGGGAAACCCUGAUCCAGCCAUCCCGCGUGUGCGAUGAAGGCCUUCGGGUUGUAAAGCACUUUUGGCAGGAAAGAAACGUCGCGGGUUAAUACCCCGUGAAACUGACGGUACCUGCAGAAUAAGCACCGGCUAACUACGUGCCAGCAGCCGCGGUAAUACGUAGGGUGCAAGCGUUAAUCGGAAUUACUGGGCGUAAAGCGUGCGCAGGCGGUUCGGAAAGAAAGAUGUGAAAUCCCAGAGCUUAACUUUGGAACUGCAUUUUUAACUACCGGGCUAGAGUGUGUCAGAGGGAGGUGGAAUUCCGCGUGUAGCAGUGAAAUGCGUAGAUAUGCGGAGGAACACCGAUGGCGAAGGCAGCCUCCUGGGAUAACACUGACGCUCAUGCACGAAAGCGUGGGGAGCAAACAGGAUUAGAUACCCUGGUAGUCCACGCCCUAAACGAUGUCAACUAGCUGUUGGGGCCUUCGGGCCUUGGUAGCGCAGCUAACGCGUAAGUUGACCGCCUGGGGAGUACGGUCGC